GCCCAAGGCCAGGAGGGCCCGGAUGCGGAACCGGAUGUGGCUUACGGCUCCGGUGCCUGGAGCGCUGGGGAAAUGGCCACAGGGACAGACCAGGUGGUGGGACUCGGCCUCGUCGCCGUUAGCCUGAUCAUCUUCACGUACUACACCACCUGGGUGAUUCUGUUGGUAUGUGUGCUUCCUCGUCCGCUCUCACCUCCUAUCCCUAGAUCUUGAAGCCAACUCCUAACAUUUAAGCACGUGACAGGCCUACCUGCCCAUGUAAUGAAAGCGUCAGAGCAGCAGUAGGAGGACGACACUAGCGGUGUCCCCAUUGUAUAGAUGACGAAGCCGAGGCUCAAGGAGAAGGUUCAGACCUAAGCCAUUCAUUGACAGUCAGCAUGUCAUCCACAAGUAUUUCCUGCCCCGGGCCUAUGCUGUUGCUAUCCCGCUGGCCGCCGGCCUCCUGCUGCUCCUCUUUGUGGGAGUGUUCAUCACCUCCGUGAUGCUGAAGAGCCAGAAGGUGACCAAAAAGGCUCAGUGAGGGCCUGGCCGAUAUAAGGCUGCGGCCCUUUCCGUUUCUUCGCCAGGGCAGACCCAGGCGGGGGGCCCACAGGACCCAUCCAGGCCCUGAGGCCCCCCUCAAGCCCAGCUGCCCUGAAGGCCCCCCCCGGCCCAAGGGGGACGGAGCUGUUCAGGACUCGCCCCCCAACUGCCCAGAGCCCCUCCCCUCCCCUCCUCCCCCUUCCAGAAGCCAGGAGGGAGGCGUCCCUGGAAGUCUCCCUCUCACCCCCUUCUGGCUCAGUGCCCGAAAGAUGCAGCUCAUCGCCCCUGCCCUCCGCCACCUUCGGACUCCCCGGCACUUUUCCCUGCGGGUCUACACUCUUGGCUCACUUCCCCACCUGUCACAUGCUGGUGUUGGACUUGGCAGGUUCUGGGCCAUCACAGGACCUCUCCCCACCAACCCUGCUCCUCCCCAAAGGCUGCUUUCCCAGGUCUGACAUAGGCCCAGGCCCUGCGAGGAUUUCUGGACCUGGAAAGCUUGGGGGGAGGCCUGACAGGCUGCCGGCACAUUAGGGCGGCCACGGUAGGGCCCCCCAUUGACUGCUUCUUGUGGAGGCCCAGCCCCCAGCCCCGUCUGUAGUGGGGGCGGGGGGGGGGUACAACAAUAAACGUUGACGGUGUGUUUGUCUCAGUGCCAUCCUGACCGGGGGAGCUGGGCGGCCCAGGGGCUGGAGAGGGGGCUGGGAGCUGGCUUCUGCCUUGGUCUCAGGUCAGGAGACCCUGGUUUGUGCAAUGAGGGUGCCUCAGGGGCCUCCUGGGGUUGUACAUGGGUCUGGCCUGAUGCUGCUCCCGGGGAGUCCGUGGGGCAUGGCAGUCUGCCAACGCCACAUCACCCUCUCCCCUGCCUCAUCUGUGCCAGCUCAGCCAGCACGGCCUGGUAUUUUAAGGACCCUCAGGCCAGUCCUCUGAAAGCUCAAGCCCAUCAUCUAUCUCUGGUACCCGGCCGCCCAGCUUAGCGUGGCUCUGAGCAGCGAGGGCUGCUGUGAGCCAGAGCAGGGCUGGUUCCACUGUGUUUAGGUUGGCUGGCACAAGCCCCAGCCCCAGUCCCCGGCAGUGGCACCGUGUCCCUCUGGGCAGCCAGCUCUCCUGUCCACAGUGCCUAGUGUAAGCCUUCAUCCCCUCACAUCGUGGACAUUCGUUCUCCCCCGCUUAGCAGAGGGGCCGCCCUCAUCAGAGAAAAGACACCAACUGCCGUUACACCUGCCUGUCCUUCCCUGUUCCUCUCUGCACCCUCCGGGCCAGGCAGAGCUGCUGGCCAGGGCUCUGGGUCCUGUCUCCUCCCACUGCUGUAGCAGGAACCUCAUGUCUUAGGAUCCCUCUCAAGGGAACAGCCUCUUCCUCCCAGCUGGUCUGCUCAGGGUUCGAUGAAUGUGUUACAGGCUCCAUUUAAGGGAUCCCCCCCUCUCUGCCCCAUCAACCCAGUGCUUCCCUCCAGGUCUCUCUCCUUCACAGCCAGGCUUCCCAAAAGGAAGUCCCGGCAUUUGCUCACCUCCACGGUGCUUGGCAGCAUUCUAGGAGGGCCGCACUCAGACCACCUGUGACGUCCAAUCUUUAAAUCCAAAGCAUGUUUCCUUGGCCCCCCUCUGCGAUGUUGGCCAGUGACAUCCCCCGGGUGCACCUUCAGAGGCUGGAUGACCCAUUCUACUUUGUGUGUGUCUCUCCCUCUCACCCAUGCUCGUCUUCUGCCCUGAACAGAGCCUUUUCACCCCACACCUAGAGGUGACCUCAUCCCUAGCCAGGCUCCAGCCCAGCUUUCUCCUGAGCCCCGAUUAUUGCACAUGCACCUGCCACCCACCUGCCAUCCUCACUGGAUGUCAUAGUGGCACCUCAGAUUCAUUCCAUCAUGAUCUGAAUUCUCAGACUCCCCACCUCCCUGCACAAAUCCGGCUCUCCCCUCAUGCCUGCCCCUUCUUGUGACUGGCGUUGUCAUCCAUGUCCCUGACUCCAGCCAGAGCCUGGCAGCCAUAGCUGAACUUGGCUUUCCUCUUCCACCCCGCAUCCGUAUGACCCCCCCCCCCCAAUCCUGUCAGUUCUUCCCUCCGCAGGCACCUUCCUGAUGCAAAGCCCAUCCUCUGCCCUCACUCAUCAAAGGCUUCCUCACUGCUUUCCCUGCCCACAAGGCCCCCUCCAAACUGACUGCACUACCGCCAGUGGCUUUUGAAAACAUUUGAGCAUCUUUCUCAUACAAUGCUUCUCUGGGUUCCCAUUCCUCUUCCUCCCAUGGAUGGCAAGAUCCUGUACGCUCGCUCACUCCAGCCACGCUGUCCUUUUAUUUCCUGGGACUCACUGAAGUUCUCUGCACGUCCUGCUCACGUUGGUUCAGCAUACACUUCUCCAACACCAGUUUGUGCCAAAUACUGAGCCAGGAAAGGAGCCUGGCAUGGUUCCACACUCCCACUCUGGGCAAGUGCAGUGUGGGGAUGAGGGGAGAUAAUAAUAAAUGAACUGGACCG
Molecule: long non-coding RNA, 2993 nt
Filed under: Sus scrofa (pig)
Lineage: Eukaryota; Metazoa; Chordata; Mammalia; Artiodactyla; Suidae
Description: lncRNA (ENSSSCG00055017244.1)
Source: RNAcentral